Non-coding RNA from Characodon lateralis, 73 nucleotides. The record is from the annotation of a GenBank genome assembly. Lineage: Eukaryota; Metazoa; Chordata; Actinopteri; Cyprinodontiformes; Goodeidae.
GCCUGGCUAGCUCAGUUGGUAGAGUUUGAGACUCUUAAACUCAAGGUCAGGGGUUUGAGACCCACAUUGGGUG